UGUGGCCAACAGUGUAGAAAUUGAUCAGCAUUCUGUUUUCUGUCCAGCUGACAUUCUGUUGAUGACAACACAAAGUAUCUGUUCAUGAGGUAGAAGCACUUGUCCACGCCGGUGGAGAAUCUUGGAACUGGAAGUGCCCUACUGUUAGCUUGUCGAACCACUGAGAGGAGAAGGCUGCAACAUUUGCACCUGGAAAAUCCCCUUCCACACUGAGUGUGAGUAUGGAAAAAUGCUCAUGAACAGGCGGGUGCAAAAGUAUCAUCAGAAUCUUUUCCAACAUGAAUCGGCUGCUGCAGUAGAACGAACUUAAUGGUGAAGGCAGUUGCAGAAGGACAAUGCCUCUUAGCUACACUGUAGGAAGCUUAUAGAAAGCUUCAUUUGUUGAUUUGGAGAUCUCUCAUUGCCGCACUUGAGCAUUUGUGUGGACUCAUGCAGCUUCUGAGUUGUUUCCUGAGUUGGACUAGGUUUGAAUGCUUCGCCUCCCUUCCUAAACCCUGCAAAACACAUGCAUACCGAAGGAACAAAUGGGAUAUGAAUGGUCAGAGCUUAGUGAGUUCAAACCCAGGUCCUGACUUUCAGCUGCUACCAAUCCCUCAAUAACAGCCUAUGUCCUGUGUGUCCUUGAUGUCUUGGUUUUUGGUCAGUUUUUCUUUUUAAUGUAAAUGUACAAUGAUU
Papaver somniferum (opium poppy) is the source of this 675-nucleotide long non-coding RNA. RefSeq lists it as uncharacterized. NCBI's taxonomy places the organism in Eukaryota, Viridiplantae, Streptophyta, Magnoliopsida, Ranunculales, Papaveraceae. The transcript has 3 exons. The record is from RefSeq and is a predicted model, not a curated record.